Molecule: ribosomal RNA, 449 nt
Filed under: uncultured bacterium
Lineage: Bacteria
Description: partial 16S ribosomal RNA
Rfam family: Bacterial small subunit ribosomal RNA
Source: RNAcentral
AACGAACGCUGGCGGCAUGCCUAACACAUGCAAGUCGAACGAGAUCUUCGGGUCUAGUGGCACACGGGUGCGUAACGCGUGGGAAUCUGCCCUUUGGUUCGGAAUAACAGUUGGAAACGACUGCUAAUACCGGAUGAUGACGAAAGUCCAAAGAUUUAUCGCCAGAGGAUGAGCCCGCGUAGGAUUAGCUAGUUGGUGUGGUAAAGGCGCACCAAGGCGACGAUCCUUAGCUGGUCUGAGAGGAUGAUCAGCCACACUGGGACUGAGACACGGCCCAGACUCCUACGGGAGGCAGCAGUGGGGAAUAUUGGACAAUGGGCGAAAGCCUGAUCCAGCAGUGCCGCGUGAGUGAUGAAGGCCUUAGGGUUGUAAAGCUCUUUUACCCGGGAUGAUAAUGACAGUACCGGGAGAAUAAGCUCCGGCUAACUCCGUGCCAGCCGCCGCGGUAA